Long non-coding RNA from Hippopotamus amphibius kiboko, 857 nucleotides. RefSeq lists it as uncharacterized. The transcript is spliced from 3 exons. NCBI's taxonomy places the organism in Eukaryota, Metazoa, Chordata, Mammalia, Artiodactyla, Hippopotamidae. The record is from RefSeq and is a predicted model, not a curated record.
GGGAGCAGAAGAACCACGAUCUGUGGAUAGCUAAGGCCUCCGUGGAAAUGGGAAUUCAGCAGACAACUCCUGAUGGCCCUGGGCUGCUGGUUCUUUUGAGUUACUUGUUGGGGAACAGAUUCCUGUCUUACCUCCACCCCACCGUGACACAAAAGAUUGAGGAAUCAUCCUGUCUUGAAGAAGAUUCUAGUGGCGAAACUGACACCAGAGGGCAGUAAUUGUUCCUGAGAUCUCACUGUGAGACAGGAGCUGCACCAAGCACUCUGCUCACAGGAAACACCUCGAAUCCUCAACGACCCCAUGGGAAAGGCGCUGUGACUAUUAUCUUCAAUUUGCAAAGGAAGAUGCAGAGACCUGGAGCUGUCAGCUCACUCGCCCAAGGUCACACAGCCACAGAGGCAGAGCUGAGGUGGAGAUGGAGGCGGUCAGACCCCGGAGCUCUGUUCUUGACCAUCACUUUAUAACGUUUCCCUGAGUUCCCCACAAGCACCCAGGGAUGGAUGUGAGUUCCCUGUGCAAUAAGAAGCUUUGCUCUGAAACAGAGAUAAGGAGAAAGGACAAAGAAAGUUCACUAAUAGGGGGCCUAAAAACACUUCCUAGGAGCUGGAAUGAGAAACCAAGAGAAGAUAGAAUUAGAGAUUAGCAGAGUGCUGACAUGUGAAAUCUUACCAUUAGGAGUGUUGCUGAAUGCAAGUUCGUGUGCCCAACACUCAGUGAGGCCAAGCAAUACUGAAACGUCGGAGUUUGGAGCAGAGAAAGGUUUACUGCAGGGCCACGCGAGGAGAAUGGGUGGUUUGUGCCCUCAAACCCCAACUCCCUAAAGGGUUUCAGCAAAGCAUUUCUAAAGGCCAGGUGAG